RNAcentral lists this ribosomal RNA (373 nucleotides) under uncultured bacterium. Its description in RNAcentral is "bacterial SSU rRNA". It matches the Rfam family "Bacterial small subunit ribosomal RNA", at positions 523 to 898 of the family's 1533-position model. The record is from RNAcentral.
ACACGUAGGGGGCGAGCGUUGUUCGGAAUCAUUGGGCGUAAAGGGUGCGCAGGCGGUGAUACAAGUCUGGUGUGAAAGAUCUCGGCUCAACCGAGGGACCGCGCUGGAAACUGUGUCACUAGAGUACAGGAGGGGGAGUUGGAAUUCCAGGUGUAGGGGUGAAAUCUGUAGAUAUCUGGAAGAACACCGGUGGCGAAGGCGAACUUCUGGCCAUGUACUGACGCUGAGGCACGAAGGCGUGGGGAGCAAACAGGUUUAGAUACCCUGGUAGUCCACGCAGUAAACGAUGUACACUAGGUGGUGGGUGGUAGCACUCAGUACCGAAGCUAACGCAUUAAGUGUGCCGCCUGGGGAGUAUGCUCGCAAGGGUGAA